RNAcentral lists this ribosomal RNA (497 nucleotides) under uncultured bacterium. RNAcentral describes it as "partial 16S ribosomal RNA". It matches the Rfam family "Bacterial small subunit ribosomal RNA", at positions 28 to 507 of the family's 1533-position model. The record is from RNAcentral.
GAUGAACGCUGGCGGCGUGCCUAAUACAUGCAAGUCGAGCGAACGGACGAGAAGCUUGCUUCUCUGAUGUUAGCGGCGGACGGGUGAGUAACACGUGGAUAACCUACCUAUAAGACUGGGAUAACUUCGGGAAACCGUAGCUAAUACCGGAUAAUAUUUUGAACCGCAUGGUUCAAAAGUGAAAGACGGUCUUGCUGUCACUUAUAGAUGGAUCCGCGCUGCAUUAGAUAGUUGGUAAGGUAACGGCUUACCAAGGCAACGAUGCAUAGCCGACCUGAGAGGGUGAUAGGCCACACUGGAACUGAGACACGGUCCAGACUCCUACGUGAGGCAGCAGUAGGGAAUCUUCCGCAAUGGGCGAAAGCCUGACGGAGCAACGCCGCGUGAGUGAUGAAGGUCUUCGGAUCGUAAAACUCUGUUAUUAGGGAAGAACAUAUGUGUAAGUAACUGUGCACAUCUUGACGGUACCUAAUCAGAAAGCCACGGCUAACUACGUG